This 557-nucleotide ribosomal RNA is filed under the name uncultured bacterium. Its description in RNAcentral is "bacterial SSU rRNA". It matches the Rfam family "Bacterial small subunit ribosomal RNA", at positions 102 to 694 of the family's 1533-position model. The record is from RNAcentral.
ACGGGUGAGUAACGCGUGGGAACGUACCUUUUGGUUCGGAACAACACAGGGAAACUUGUGCUAAUACCGGAUAAGCCCUUACGGGGAAAGAUUUAUCGCCGAAAGAUCGGCCCGCGUCUGAUUAGCUAGUUGGUGAGGUAAUGGCUCACCAAGGCGACGAUCAGUAGCUGGUCUGAGAGGGUGAUCAGCCACAUUGGGACUGAGACACGGCCCAAACUCCUACGGGAGGCAGCAGUGGGGAAUAUUGGACAAUGGGGGCAACCCUGAUCCAGCCAUGCCGCGUGAGUGAUGAAGGCCCUAGGGUUGUAAAGCUCUUUUGUGCGGGAAGAUAAUGACGGUACCGCAAGAAUAAGCCCCGGCUAACUUCGUGCCAGCAGCCGCGGUAAUACGAAGGGGGCUAGCGUUGCUCGGAAUCACUGGGCGUAAAGGGUGCGUAGGCGGGUCUUUAAGUCAGGGGUGAAAUCCUGGAGCUCAACUCCAGAACUGCCUUUGAUACUGAAGAUCUUGAGUUCGGGAGAGGUGAGUGGAACUGCGAGUGUAGAGGUGAAAUUCGUAGA